GAAUGUUUUCCAAAAUAUUAUGGUAAAACAAGUAAAUAAAUAUCAAAAGUGUAAUGUUGAUCUGAUGUAUAUUAGUUUUAUAGGUUUUUAGCUAUUAUUUUUGAUCAUUUUAGUGUUUAAAUAUUACAUUUAGGCAUUAUUAGGAGUUGCAUUUGUAUAUUUUGCAUACACAUGGGUCUGGUUGUAUAAUCAGAAGUUCUAGGGCGAAAUAGAGGAGAAAACUAUAACUUUUAAAAGUUUGAGGUCACAAACGAAAAUAUCCAAAGUGGACGGACCAAUUUUACAAAAAGCUCAAAGUUGAGCAAAGCUUUGGAUCUUUCGAUCCGUGAGAGUGGAAGCGACCACUUCCCAAUUUGCAAGCUUGAUUCGUUCGAUUUGUUUGUUCUCGAUCUAAUCUUCUUCCUGACCAACAUGAAUCAAUCGUUUCUGGAAAGAUUGAUGAGCUCGAUCGUGUACACCGGCCCAUUGAACGUGACGACACAAAGAUGAUGAGGAUGAGCUCGACGGUGAUGAGAAAAGAUGACGGUGCAGAUGGUUCGAGACGGCGGAGCAGCGACGAGGAGGUCCGACGGUCUCGAGGGAGAGGAGGUCCGGCGGUCUCGAGGACGAGGAGGUCCGGCGGUCUCGAGCUCGUUUCCGUUUUGAAAAAUUAUCCAUAUAUUUUUUUUUUUAAUUCAUUUCAUUAAGGCUAGAUAAGUAAAUUAACUUGAAAGAGGCCAUAUAGAUUUUUUUAGGAUGCUAUAGAUUUGUUUUUGGCCAUUUAGGCCAUAUGAGAACUUAGUCCUUUGGACUUAUGACAUGAUGUAAUUGUUUUAGAAAGAACAAAGGUAACC
This 833-nucleotide long non-coding RNA is filed under the name Brassica napus (rape). RNAcentral's name for it is "long non-coding RNA (BNAP_LNC012419)". Lineage: Eukaryota; Viridiplantae; Streptophyta; Magnoliopsida; Brassicales; Brassicaceae. The record is from RNAcentral.